GCCCAGGUAGUAUAGCCAGGUCUAGUAUGCUUAUUGGCCUAGAUUGUACGGCUGUCACCCGUACGACGUGGGUUCAAAUCCCGCCCUGGGCG
This 92-nucleotide transfer RNA is filed under the name miscellaneous Crenarchaeota group archaeon SMTZ-80. RNAcentral describes it as "tRNA-Asp". It matches the Rfam family "tRNA". Rfam says of the family: Transfer RNA (tRNA) molecules are approximately 80 nucleotides in length. Their secondary structure includes four short double-helical elements and three loops (D, anti-codon, and T loops). Further hydrogen bonds mediate the characteristic L-shaped molecular structure. tRNAs have two regions of fundamental functional importance: the anti-codon, which is responsible for specific mRNA codon recognition, and the 3' end, to which the tRNAs corresponding amino acid is attached (by aminoacyl-tRNA synthetases). tRNAs cope with the degeneracy of the genetic code in two manners: having more than one tRNA (with a specific anti-codon) for a particular amino acid; and 'wobble' base-pairing, i.e. permitting non-standard base-pairing at the 3rd anti-codon position. The record is from RNAcentral. Lineage: Archaea; Thermoproteati; Candidatus Bathyarchaeota.